This 512-nucleotide ribosomal RNA is filed under the name uncultured bacterium. RNAcentral describes it as "partial 16S ribosomal RNA". It matches the Rfam family "Bacterial small subunit ribosomal RNA", at positions 28 to 523 of the family's 1533-position model. The record is from RNAcentral.
GAUGAACGCUGGCGGCAUGCCUAAUACAUGCAAGUCGAACGAGAGGAAGGAAAGCUUGCUUUUCUGAAUCUAGUGGCGAACGGGUGGGUAACACGUAGGUAACCUGCCCAUGUGCCCGGGAUAACUUCUGGAAACGGAUGCUAAAACCGGAUAGGUAGCAGACAAGCAUUUGACUGCUAUUAAAGUGGCUAAGGCCAUGAACAUGGAUGGACCUGCGGUGCAUUAGCUAGUUGGUGAGGUAACGGCCCACCAAGGCGACGAUGCAUAGCCGGCCUGAGAGGGCGGACGGCCACAUUGGGACUGAGACACGGCCCAAACUCCUACGGGAGGCAGCAGUAGGGAAUUUUCGUCACUGGGGGGAACCCUGAACGAGCAAUGCCGCGUGAGUGAGGAAGGUCUUCGGAUCGUGAAGCUCUGUUGUAAGAGAAAAACGACAUUCAUAGGGAAUGAUGAGUGAGUGAUGGUAUCUUACCAGAAAGUCACGGCUAACUACGUGCCAGCCGCCGCGGUAA